RNAcentral lists this ribosomal RNA (782 nucleotides) under Pedobacter sp. Its description in RNAcentral is "bacterial SSU rRNA". It matches the Rfam family "Bacterial small subunit ribosomal RNA", at positions 43 to 824 of the family's 1533-position model. Lineage: Bacteria; Pseudomonadati; Bacteroidota; Sphingobacteriia; Sphingobacteriales; Sphingobacteriaceae. The record is from RNAcentral.
CAGGCCUAAUACAUGCAAGUCGAGGGGUAGAAGAGGCUUGCUUCUUUGAGACCGGCGCACGGGUGCGUAACGCGUAUGCAACCUACCUUAAUCAGGGGGAUAGCCCGAAGAAAUUCGGAUUAACACCGCAUAAAAUCACAACAUAGCAUUAUGUAAUGAUCAAAUAUUUAUAGGAUUAAGAUGGGCAUGCGUGUCAUUAGCUAGUUGGCGGGGUAACGGCCCACCAAGGCGACGAUGACUAGGGGAUCUGAGAGGAUGACCCCCCACACUGGUACUGAGACACGGACCAGACUCCUACGGGAGGCAGCAGUAAGGAAUAUUGGUCAAUGGAGGCAACUCUGAACCAGCCAUGCCGCGUGCAGGAAGACUGCCCUAUGGGUUGUAAACUGCUUUUAUCUGGGAAUAAACCUAUUUACGUGUAGAUAGCUGAAUGUACCAGAAGAAUAAGGAUCGGCUAACUCCGUGCCAGCAGCCGCGGUAAUACGGAGGAUCCAAGCGUUAUCCGGAUUUAUUGGGUUUAAAGGGUGCGUAGGCGGCCUGUUAAGUCAGAGGUGAAAGACGGUAGCUCAACUAUCGCAGUGCCUUUGAUACUGAUGGGCUUGAAUAAACUAGAGGUAGGCGGAAUGAGACAAGUAGCGGUGAAAUGCAUAGAUAUGUCUCAGAACACCGAUUGCGAAGGCAGCUUACUAUGGUUUUAUUGACGCUGAGGCACGAAAGCGUGGGGAUCAAACAGGAUUAGAUACCCUGGUAGUCCACGCCCUAAACGAUGAACACUCGCUGUU